CAGUGGCCGAGUGGAUAACGCGAUGGCGUUCGAAGCCAACGGUACUGGGUUCGAGUCCCAGAGUGAA
RNAcentral lists this transfer RNA (67 nucleotides) under Schistosoma mansoni. The record is from RNAcentral. Lineage: Eukaryota; Metazoa; Platyhelminthes; Trematoda; Strigeidida; Schistosomatidae.